AUCAAAUACAAAUGCUAUUGACUAGAUUCAUGAGAGGUCAGGUAAUGCGUUCAAAUGUCAAAAAUGCAGUAAUUUCAUCAACUUAUCAGCGAGUGAACUUCAGAAACACUGAAAAUGAAUGAGUUCAGAGCUGGAACUAUCAGUGUUUGUAACUGCUCCACGAGACUCAUUACUUCCGCAUUCAUGCACAGUUCCUCUGGAAGCUUACGGGAGUGUCGCAACUCUGUUUUUCAACGGCUCUGGUCAGACGCAGUCAGCAGCUUUUUGUCCGGGGCUCUGUCCGGCUGAUCUUCUUAAUGCUCAAAAAGAAAAGCAAAAGUAAGGAAUACAAGCAAACUACGAAGUCAAGAUUAUCCAUACACAGUGAAUAAUACGUGAAUAUAUUCAGUGAGUCAAAAAGAGCGUUGAAGAUGCAGCGUGUUUUGAGAUGCAGUUUUCUAGUGAUCAUCUGCUGCAUCUCAUGGACAGACUCAUCUGUGAUUACAGUUACACUAAUCAGAGAAAUUGGGGAUGAUAUCUUCAUCGAAUGCGCUGUAGAUAAGACACCUCAGGAUGGAGUGUACAUGUACAAACAAGGAGCAGCAAAUAAACAACAGGAAAUCUUCUACUUCUACAAACCAUCUUACCUAUAAAACAAUGAAUGAAUCCAAAAUCAGUGUAAGUGGAGCCCUUCCCAACCUUACCGUCACCCUCUUAAAAGCAACUGCUGAGGACAUUGGGCUUUACUGGUGUGAAUUUAAUUUGGAAGAAAAAACUGCCGUUGGCAAGUUCACUUGGUUAUGGAUAGAAAAAUCAGAAGAAGAAAAAAAAAGAGUGCCCAGAAGAAGUUCUUCGCUAUGAGAAAAACUUACUAAUUUUGUUUGCUGUCAUAUCCCUACUGUGCAUCAUUGGUUUCUUCUGUGUGAUUCUGAAGAUGAAAGGGUGUUGGGGGAACAGGAAAUACACACCAUCAAAUCCACCCUCAGACUUAUAAUGAGAUGAAAUGGAGAACAUUUGGAUGUAAUGCCUAAAGUACAGACAUUCACCAAACCUGACUAUCAGUACCAAGCAACUUUGAUAAAUACUGUGAUUAAUAAGAAGAUUAAGUUGUGUUAUGCAAGAGAAAUGUAUGUAUAUUUAAUCAAUGUUGUUGUUUAUACAUGAUUAAUUUUGUUAAGUUACAUAGGUUUCCUUAUAUUAUCUUUGCAUAACCUUUAAAUCAUGAGAAAAAUGUAAUUUGUUUGUUGGCGUAUAGAUACAUGUAUGUAACCAUUGCAUGUUUUGAAAACAGAUUUUUUUGUCUUUUAAUGUUUUUAAGAUAUGAUGUUUCUUACAGGACUUUUCAAAAGAGUGCUAACUGUCUAAGAAUGAAAGGGGAUGAACCGAACGGAGGUUAUGCUGUACAUGUAAGGGUCAGAUUUUGAUUGAUGAGCAUGGAGAUAUACAUGUUACCUUUUAUUUUUAUGUCUAAGUAUUGGGUUAUGUACUGUCAUACAUUUGGUAAUAAAAACUCAGAUAUAUUGUU
Megalobrama amblycephala (Wuchang bream) is the source of this 1504-nucleotide long non-coding RNA. RefSeq lists it as uncharacterized. The record is from RefSeq and is a predicted model, not a curated record. The transcript is spliced from 4 exons. NCBI's taxonomy places the organism in Eukaryota, Metazoa, Chordata, Actinopteri, Cypriniformes, Xenocyprididae.